This 467-nucleotide ribosomal RNA is filed under the name uncultured bacterium. RNAcentral's name for it is "partial 16S ribosomal RNA". It matches the Rfam family "Bacterial small subunit ribosomal RNA", at positions 28 to 506 of the family's 1533-position model. The record is from RNAcentral.
GACGAACGCUGGCGGCGUGCUUAACACAUGCAAGUCGAACGGAAAGGCCCUGCUUUUGUGGGGUGCCCGAGGGGCGAACGGGUGAGUAACACGUGAGUAUCCUGCCCUUGACUUUGGGAUAACUUCAGGAAACUGGGGCUAAUACCGGAUAGGAGCUCCUGCUGCACGGGGGGGGUUGGAAAGUUUCGGCGGUUGUGGAUGUACUCGCGGCUUACCAGCUUGUUGGUGGGGUAGUGGCUUACCAAGGCUUUGACGGGUAGCCGGCCUGGGAGGGUGACCGGGCACAUUGGGACUGGGAUACGAGCCAGACGGCUACGGGGGGCAGCAGUGGGGAAUAGUGCAAGAUGGGCGGAAGGCGGAAGGAGGAACGUCGCGUGGGGGAUGACGGCCAUCGGGGUGUAAACCGCUUUCGCCUGUGACGAAGCGUGAGUGACGGUAAUGGGUAAAGAAGCACCGGCUAACUACGU